This 247-nucleotide ribosomal RNA is filed under the name uncultured bacterium. Its description in RNAcentral is "partial 16S ribosomal RNA". It matches the Rfam family "Bacterial small subunit ribosomal RNA", at positions 57 to 305 of the family's 1533-position model. The record is from RNAcentral.
GCAAGUCGAACGAGAAAACUAAAUAGCUUGCUAAUUGGUUUUCUAGUGGCGGACGGGUUAGUAACACGUGAGCAACCUGCCUCGAAGUGGGGGAUAGCCUUCCGAAAGGAAGAUUAAUACCGCAUGUGGCCUACGGGUCAAAGAUGCCUUCGGGUGUCGCUUUGAGAUGGGCUCGCGGCCUAUCAGCUUGUUGGUGAGGUAACGGCUCACCAAGGCUACGACGGGUAGCUGGUCUGAGAGGAUGAUC